RNAcentral lists this ribosomal RNA (616 nucleotides) under Acinetobacter sp. RNAcentral's name for it is "bacterial SSU rRNA". It matches the Rfam family "Bacterial small subunit ribosomal RNA", at positions 425 to 1032 of the family's 1533-position model. Lineage: Bacteria; Pseudomonadati; Pseudomonadota; Gammaproteobacteria; Moraxellales; Moraxellaceae. The record is from RNAcentral.
GUAAAGCACUUUAAGCGAGGAGGAGGCUACUUUAGUUAAUACCUAGAGAUAGUGGACGUUACUCGCAGAAUAAGCACCGGCUAACUCUGUGCCAGCAGCCGCGGUAAUACAGAGGGUGCAAGCGUUAAUCGGAUUUACUGGGCGUAAAGCGCGCGUAGGCGGCUAAUUAAGUCAAAUGUGAAAUCCCCGAGCUUAACUUGGGAAUUGCAUUCGAUACUGGUUAGCUAGAGUGUGGGAGAGGAUGGUAGAAUUCCAGGUGUAGCGGUGAAAUGCGUAGAGAUCUGGAGGAAUACCGAUGGCGAAGGCAGCCAUCUGGCCUAACACUGACGCUGAGGUGCGAAAGCAUGGGGAGCAAACAGGAUUAGAUACCCUGGUAGUCCAUGCCGUAAACGAUGUCUACUAGCCGUUGGGGCCUUUGAGGCUUUAGUGGCGCAGCUAACGCGAUAAGUAGACCGCCUGGGGAGUACGGUCGCAAGACUAAAACUCAAAUGAAUUGACGGGGGCCCGCACAAGCGGUGGAGCAUGUGGUUUAAUUCGAUGCAACGCGAAGAACCUUACCUGGCCUUGACAUAGUAAGAACUUUCCAGAGAUGGAUUGGUGCCUUCGGGAACUUACA